Xenia sp. Carnegie-2017 is the source of this 691-nucleotide long non-coding RNA. RefSeq lists it as uncharacterized. Lineage: Eukaryota; Metazoa; Cnidaria; Anthozoa; Malacalcyonacea; Xeniidae. The transcript has 2 exons. The record is from RefSeq and is a predicted model, not a curated record.
AGAAAAGCUAAUUACAACAUUAUUGCUACAAAAUGUAAUAUGUAAAGAAAGAAAUAUAUUUGAUCAUAAAAACCAUACAUGAAAGGAGCUUACAUUGUGUUGUUUCUACUGGUUUUUAUUGAUUUGGUCAGAAUGGAGCGAUACAAGCAAAUGAAGGAAAGAUCGACGAAAUCAUUAUUGGACAAGACGUACAAAGAGAAUGUUAAUCGUGUAAUUUGUCCGGAUGGUACAAAAUGAUGUCCAGUUCAUAGUUUUGAGUUCGAUUUUGAAAAUUACCGUUGUUGUCCUUGGUUGAAUGGAAUUUGUUGUUUUAACGGGAGUUGUUGUCGUUCUGGUUCUGAAUGUUUUGGGUUUGGCAAAUCGUGUUCUGUCCAAUGGAAUUCAACACAUGUAUGAAUAAAAUAAUGUAUAAUCUUUUCCAUGAUUACGAAUUUCUAUAUCUUGUCUGGUUGGAAUGGAUAUUUUUUCAUUUAUUUAGAUUUUCAUAUACAACACAAAAAGUUAGGCAAUAUAUAUCUUGAAAUAUAUUAUUUAUUUUAUGAAAUUUAUUGAGUAAUUAAUAUACCUCUUUAAAUGAUAUCUUUUACGUAGAUCUUUUAUGGUAUCGUAGUUGAUUUUUACCUUUCUUUAUGACACUGAGCUGUAUAUAUACUGGGAGUGCGCGUAUUUAAAUUUCAUGGCAAGAAAUAUA